Molecule: non-coding RNA, 76 nt
Organism: Daphnia pulex (common water flea)
Lineage: Eukaryota; Metazoa; Arthropoda; Branchiopoda; Diplostraca; Daphniidae
Source: Rfam
AUGCUUGUGAUGAAAAAAUUAUUGGCAGAUCAUAAUGUUGACCACCAAAUUACGAGCUUUUUAAUACUGAAUCCUG